Molecule: Y RNA, 97 nt
Organism: Pongo abelii (Sumatran orangutan)
Lineage: Eukaryota; Metazoa; Chordata; Mammalia; Primates; Hominidae
Rfam family: Y RNA
About the family: Y RNAs are components of the Ro ribonucleoprotein particle (Ro RNP), in association with Ro60 and La proteins. The Y RNAs and Ro60 and La proteins are well conserved, but the function of the Ro RNP is not known.
Source: Ensembl
GGUUGGUCCAAUGGUAGUGGGUUAUCAGAACUUAUUAACACUAGUGUCACUAAAGUUGGUAUAUGACCCCCCCACUGCUAAAUUUGACUGGCUUUUU